GCCCGGUUAGCUCAAUCGGUAGAGCGUGAGACUCUUAAUCUCAAGGUUGCGGGUAAGUUCAUACGUCCACAUGCAAACCAUCAGAUCAUGUGCUAAUCACGAUCACAGGUUCGACCCCCGCAUCGGGCU
Non-coding RNA from Xylaria sp. FL0933, 129 nucleotides. The record is from the annotation of a GenBank genome assembly. Lineage: Eukaryota; Fungi; Ascomycota; Sordariomycetes; Xylariales; Xylariaceae.